Molecule: ribosomal RNA, 462 nt
Filed under: uncultured bacterium
Lineage: Bacteria
Description: bacterial SSU rRNA
Rfam family: Bacterial small subunit ribosomal RNA
Source: RNAcentral
UUGAACGCUGGCGGCAUGCCUUACACAUGCAAGUCGAACGGCAGCACGGGGGCAACCCUGGUGGCGAGUGGCGAACGGGUGAGUAAUGCAUUGGAACGUGCCCUGAAGUGGGGGAUAACGUAGCGAAAGUUACGCUAAUACCGCAUAUUCUGUGAGCAGGAAAGCAGGGGAUCGCAAGACCUUGCGCUUUAGGAGCGGCCGAUGUCGGAUUAGCUAGUUGGUGAGGUAAAAGCUCACCAAGGCGACGAUCCGUAGCGGGUCUGAGAGGAUGAUCCGCCACACUGGGACUGAGACACGGCCCAGACUCCUACGGGAGGCAGCAGUGGGGAAUUUUGGACAAUGGGGGCAACCCUGAUCCAGCCAUGCCGCGUGAGUGAAGAAGGCCUUCGGGUUGUAAAGCUCUUUCGGCGGGGAAGAAGCGUGAGUGACGGUACCUGCAGAAGAAGCACCGGCUAACUACGU